Long non-coding RNA from Drosophila serrata, 431 nucleotides. The record is from RefSeq and is a predicted model, not a curated record. NCBI's taxonomy places the organism in Eukaryota, Metazoa, Arthropoda, Insecta, Diptera, Drosophilidae.
UGGUUCCUUACUGAAUAAACACGUGUGUCAGCUAUAAAAUUAAAUAUCCGCAACAAAGUAUUUUAUUUAAUUAUUACUACUGGACAUAUAUAAAAACGAAAAGUCAGGACAGACCAAGAGGAAUACCAACGAAUUUUCUACAGGAAAGGUCGAAGAGAUACAUAAGUAAGGGUAAAGAUGAGAAAGUUCGAUCGUAACGGUUAAGAUACAAGAUACAGCAAGAUCUGCUUUCUUAUCGGCAUAAAGGUCGCCGAAAGUAUUGAAGAAGAACCUAAUCCAAAGAGGAUAGCAAGUGGUGGAUUUAAGAUAUCCAGGCUGGGAGUGUAAAGAGCAUGCUAAUGCUGAUACUAUUUGAUGCUCAUCAGUAAGCCCAGCCAAGUAUAACAUAUAAAUUAUGAAUAAAAAGUCAGUCAUAUAUCUAGAUCCAAUAA